UCGUAACAAGGUCUCCGUAGGUGAACCUGCGGAGGGAUCAUUACACAAUAAACAUAUGAAGGCUGCACCGCCAACAGGCGGCAAGGCUGGAGUAUUUUAUUACCCUUGUCUUUUGCGCACUUGUUGUUUCCUGGGCGGGUUCGCCCGCCUCCAGGACCACAUGAUAAACCUUUUUUAUGCAGUUGCAAUCAGCGUCAGUACAACAAAUGUAAAUCAUUUACAACUUUCAACAACGGAUCUCUUGGUUCUGGCAUCGAUGAAGAACGCAGCGAAAUGCGAUACGUAGUGUGAAUUGCAGAAUUCAGUGAAUCAUCGAAUCUUUGAACGCACAUUGCGCCCUUUGGUAUUCCAAAGGGCAUGCCUGUUCGAGCGUCAUUUGUACCCUCAAGCUUUGCUUGGUGUUGGGCGUUUUUUGUCUUUGGUUUUGUCCAAAGACUCGCCUUAAAACGAUUGGCAGCCGGCCUACUGGUUUCGCAGCGCAGCACAUUUUUGCGCUUGCAAUCAGCAAAAGAGGACGGCACUCCAUCAAGACUCUAUAUCACUUUUGACCUCGGAUCAGGUAGGGAUACCCGCUGAACUUAAGCAUAUCAAUAAGCGGAGGAAAAGAAACCAACAGGGAUUGCCUUAGUAACGGCGAGUGAAGCGGCAACAGCUCAAAUUUGAAAUCUGGCUCUUUCAGAGUCCGAGUUGUAAUUUGCAGA
Molecule: unclassified non-coding RNA, 701 nt
Filed under: Curvularia geniculata
Lineage: Eukaryota; Fungi; Ascomycota; Dothideomycetes; Pleosporales; Pleosporaceae
Description: sequence contains 18S rRNA gene, ITS1, 5.8S rRNA gene, ITS2, 28S rRNA gene
Rfam family: 5.8S ribosomal RNA (bases 222-375)
Source: RNAcentral